UCUCCGUUGGUGAACCAGCGGAGGGAUCAUUGCUGGAAUCUCAGGGCUUCGGCCCUGACCCAGAUACCCUAUGUGAACUUAUACCUCAUAUCGUUGCCUCGGCGCCGAGCCGGGCCUCCCCAGGGAGGUCCCCUCUGUCUCUACCUCACCCGGUACAUGCAGAGGAGCAGGCCCGCCGGCGGCCCACUAAACUCUUUGUUUUUAUAACGUAUCUCUUCUGAGUUUUUAAACAAACAAAUGAAUCAAAACUUUCAACAACGGAUCUCUUGGUUCUGGCAUCGAUGAAGAACGCAGC
Molecule: unclassified non-coding RNA, 295 nt
Filed under: uncultured fungus
Lineage: Eukaryota; Fungi
Description: sequence contains ITS1, 5.8S rRNA gene
Rfam family: 5.8S ribosomal RNA (bases 247-295)
Source: RNAcentral